AUGGUCCAAGUAGAUCUAGCUGAAUGCAUUUUAGCACUUGACCAAACAAGGAAAAUACCCAUUACAGACCAAGAAAUAAACGAUGCAUUUGGUCUGCCACAAGGAAGCAGGACCAUUCCACCACGUCACUCAGACUUAUCUGAAGUUUGUAUAGAGUUCAGCAGGUUGGCGUCAACCAUUAGUACCAAUGGCGUGCAUAGCUUGAAGGCUGCUGAAUUUAUCUUAUCUAAGGCAUUAGAUGAGAAUUCAAGCAAAGUGGAGUGUGAGUGCUUCAAUAUAGCUUUUGUAAUUUUCUCAGUUGGCCAUGUUUUGAACCCAUGCGCCAAGCACAAUUACACUAGUGUCGAUUACUGGGCAGCACUGGUUGUGCCGUCGGAGAUAAAUUCCUACAACUGGUGUAGGCUUGUCAAAGACAGUUUGAUGAAAGGGGUCAAAAAAAUCAAGACCGACAUUGACAAUGGGAACACAACAAUUCACAUAGUUGGAUGUCACCUCCUUCAUAUUGCACAACAAUCUUAA
This 519-nucleotide ribosomal RNA is filed under the name Triticum aestivum (bread wheat). RNAcentral's name for it is "partial small subunit ribosomal RNA". The record is from RNAcentral. Lineage: Eukaryota; Viridiplantae; Streptophyta; Magnoliopsida; Poales; Poaceae.